AUGGCCACUGCUGAUGUCCAGAACCCGGCGGUCGCGCUGACGGAGGAGGCGCCCGCGGUGGAGACACCCCUGGUCGCCGAGGAGGUCGCGAAGACGGAGGAGGCCCCCACGCCGGCGGUGGCCGAAGUCGAAGCGCCUGCUGCCCCCGUCGAGGUUGAGGAGACUAAGGAGGAGGCGCCGGCCGCCGCUGAGACGGAGGAGACCAAGGAGCCCGAGCCCGCAGCUGCGGCCGAGCCGGAGGCCGAGGCGCCAGCCGUGGUCGAGACAGAGACCAAGGAGGCCGUGGCUGAGGCAGAGCCGGCGGUGGUCGAGGAGGUGAAGGAGGAGGCGGCGCCUGCUGCCGAGCCGGAGGUUGCGGCCGUCGCCGAGGAAGCACCGGCUGCUGCGGAGGAGGCACCCGCGGCCGCGGCAGAGGAGCCGGCCGCCGCGGUGGCCAGCGUCAGCGUGUGA
Molecule: ribosomal RNA, 450 nt
Filed under: Triticum aestivum (bread wheat)
Lineage: Eukaryota; Viridiplantae; Streptophyta; Magnoliopsida; Poales; Poaceae
Description: partial small subunit ribosomal RNA
Source: RNAcentral